GGUUUCUCUCUCUCCUGGCACGAGCUCUCUCUCUCUCUCUCUCUCUCUCUCUCUCUCUUUGGGGGGCUCACGAACUCUCUGGGGGAGGACGCUCUCUCUCUCUCUCGCUCGAAAAAAAAAAGGACGAAGAAUCAGAGGGGAAGAAAGGGAAAAAUCGGUUAGGGCUCGGGUGGUCUUCGGAAAACGGAUUCUCCUCUGGCCGGCGGUGGCAACAAGGGGGGCGGACUCUCGUUCUCGAAUGGAGAUUUCCUCCUCUGAAAUGCUCUAAAAAACCGGAGAAAAUAGAGGAAUCACAGGCGGAGGAGUUGGAGGUGAGGGUUUUCCUCCAUGGGUGCGCGAUUGGAGGUGUUUCCUCUAUUCGGUGAGGAGUUUGCUCGGGGGAUCCGGUUUCCGAAACUGAUCGGCAUCGGUAGCAGUGACGGCAGCAACGGCAGAGCUUGAUUCGACCUCUUUCGUUCGUUAUUAACGGCCGGCUCGCUUCGGUUCGGACUUGGUGCUCCGAGCUCCGAGCUCCGAGGAUAGAGAUCUGAAGCUCGAUCAACGGCGGCUCUCUCUCGAUCUCUACCUUCUUCAGACUCCCUCAAACCUUAGAAGACAGAGCGAUUGCCGAUCGAAGAGUUGGAGGUGCGAGGCUCGGAUUCGCGCCGAGUUCGGAGAAAGCUCAGCAACGAUUUCCCUUUGAAUCGAGUCAUUUCCGAGGAUUUUUCCUCUUAGAUCUCGGCAAGUUUCAUUCAGAUUACUGAUUCGUUUUCUCUAGUAAAGUUUUUUUUUAGAAGUCAUCUCAUAUCCUCCAUUCCUUGCUGUUUUCUUUUGCUGGCGCCGAGCAUGUAUUUCCUCUCGCUGAUUCAACCAUUGAAAUCGCCGGCUAUUCAUUGAAGUCACCGAUUCAAUCGAAAUCUCACAAGGAGUUUGGAUCGGUCAUUACUCAAAAACAGAGACAAUCUUUUCAGAGUUCUUGAAGAAGCUGACUGAUAAAGCUGUUGAGGUAUGAAUAUCUGUGCUUGAAUAUGUCAAGACUUUCCUGCUGCGAAAUUCUUCUAGAGUUUAAAUCUUCUCAAAUAAUUGAUGCCUUAUGCGAUUGAUGGAUGGAUUAUGAUGAAAACGUGAGAAAGCAAGUUGUCACUGUUAUUUGCGAGUGGGGUUUACUUGACUUUUGUUCAGCCUAAUGUUCACCUUCUGUUGAAUAGAACUAUUCUAUUCUUCUCUUUUGAAAAGACUAAAAGAAACCAUUUAUACCUGUUCAUACUGUUCUUCAAUAGCAAGCAAUCGUUCGAUCAUACUCAUACCAAAUGUUUGAUCCCGCUCAGUUAAGUCUUCACAACCUGCAGAUAGCAUUAUUUGUCUACUGCGUUUUUCAUUUGGUUUAACUGGCAAAUCAAGAAUAAAUUCCAGCGGGUCCUUUCUAAUGAAGAGUUGUCCUAGUAACAAGUAUUAAAAAGGUGCUAUGGCCUCGUUCCCCCUUUAGUUUUUUUUUUUUUUUUAUGUUUUCAUCAUUGCAAAUCAAGCUGUACAAGCUAGACAUGCACCAGAAGAAUGUUGUCUCGUUUUAGUAGAAAUUAGUCCUCUGCUGCUGCUGUGUUCUUUUUUUAGAAUUCCUUGUUCAUAAUAUGGAAUGUGUUCUUUGCUAGAAAGUUGUGAGUUCAUUGGUACACUUCAAUCUGGAUUGCUUUCUAUAUUUUGCCCCUUGAUGAGCUUGUAAUUGUCAGUAAACCGAUAUGGUUGUGCGGCCAUUGGAAGAGUUUUUUUUUAUGCUCCUUUCUAGAAACUGCUGUCUUCUAUCGGUUGGGGUUAGUUGUUUGAAACAUGAUAGGCAAGCUACAAUUUUUGAUUUGGUUGUGUGUAUACCCAAUCGUGAUUUGUUCAUUUCUUUUUGCGCCUCUUUCGAUUUGAUUUGUGUAAAUGAGGUGUAUAUGUAAUGCAUGAAUGUUAUAUAGUCUCAAUGUAAGACAUGAAGAAUCAGCAUUGUUUGUAUCACUGUGCUUGCUGCCAUCUAUGAUUGUCUAGCUCGCCACGAAUAUACAUGUUACAUUGUGGUCACCUUGUUGUGUUUGUUGAGAAUUGCGUCAAUUCUUUGUGUGUUGCUUCAAUUCAUGACGAUUUGUCAUCAAAUAAUCACAAUUUAUAGUCUCAUGGGUUCUUUUACAAUUCUGAUUGCAUGCUGGAAUUUGUGGAUUAAGCAUUGAUUAGAUGGACAUACAUGUAGCAUGAACACGUUCAAUGAUGCAUAUUGUUUUGUGAAUGAUCUUUUGUCACCUAAUUCAUUUGCUUGAUUGAUUGAGAACCAAGGUUAUAUGACUUGAAUGUCUGUCAUAUUAUAUGCCUUGCAUGUGAUCAUUUGAUGAAUGGUUUUGGUGUGACACAUAUCAAUGCUGAACUUUAGGAUAUCACUCGAAACUUGAUUCCGUAUUGUACUUCUUUUAAACAAUUGUUUUUGAUACGAUGUAUUGUUUUUGGUUGCUUGAUGUGUUUGAUUGUUUCUUUUAUUUGUACGCACCUAGUUAUAGGUUUUCUUAGAUUAGAUUUAGAUUAGAACCUCGAAGGUGUAAGGCGUGAAGAUGGUGAAGGUCGAUGUCCAUUCCGACCAUUGUCAUGUACUUUUUGUUUUCCCGAUAUAUGUCUCGGGUUCUAUGCAUUGUAUAAAACCCGACGAGUUGCGGGUUUCCUUUCUUUCUCGAUUGUUUUCUUUUUUAUAUUCUUUAGAAUUGCAUGAUUAGGUUUAUUGUUUUCUAUUGAUUGUUUACUUCAUGUCUUGUGCUUUCAAUUUCAUUGAUUGUUUCCUUUUUUUUUUUUUUUUUAGAAAUAGAAUAGAAUGAAAUAAAUCUGCUACGCAUGAUCACUUAGUUUAGGAAUUGAUGAUCCUAAAAAAAUGUAAAAAAAAAACGCAUGGACAUGUUAGGAACAACACAACAUGCUGUUUAGGUACCGAAAGGGCGUUAAUAGCAAUAUUAGCGUAACCCAAGUCCCCGAACCUGGAUAUCUGGUUGCGUAGGAAUCGAGGGAACACUCCCGACCCUCGAUUGGGUUUCUAGCCGACCCCCAAAGUUGAGGCUAGUGGCGACUCCCGUCUAUUUUUAGGUUGUCAUAAAUAAGUAGAUCGUAUAAAUAAAUCCGUUGUCACGCGGGGUAUGAGUUUCGAUGAAACUCACUAUGGUUUAGCAUACUCGAUGUGGGGGUAGCCCAAAGGAUGAAGUGAUGCCAUCCUAAUGGGUGGAGCGUACUAUCGAGAGGGCUACCAUGGUAAAAGUACCCUUAGAUUCGAUAUCCACAUUCGACUCCCUUUUUUAGGUGUGUCGCUUAUGUGGGUAUGGAUCGCGACAUUCCGCUGUCACGCGGGGUACGAGCUUGGGAGAGCUCGCGAUCUCGUAGAGGGAACUCAUGAGAGGCUUGAUCCAAAAGGCGAGGUGAUGACGUUGUUUGGAAUGCAAGCCGUGAGGGAACUUUCGUGAUCAUGUACCCCUAAACCCGACCUUUCCCAACCUUGGAUACCAUUUCGAGGGGCGGCAAGAUCGGGUCGCGACAGGCUUGGCGACUCCGCUGGGGACUGGUUACUAGGUUAAGAGGACUUGAAGCCGUUUAAAAAUGGUUGUUGAAUUUCUCCAACUCCUUGCUCAGUUCCUUCAGACGCAUUUUGGUCACCAUUUUCAGACCUACCACCAUAUGAUCGCAUGGUCGAACACAAAAGAUUUGUGGAGGCUGAAUAUUCAGAUGUCUGAAUAACUUCGUAAUAAGGCUUGGAUAAGAGAGUUGACCUAUGUCCUUCAUCAUUGCUCUAUACAUGUGAAACAUCACAGUGUGAGGGAGAGAAAACCUUUUUCCAAAGAGAAUGGCAUACAUCAGCUUGGCCUCUGAACUUGAAACAUCAGUCUUAGAAGUUGAUUUCGGUCCGAGUCAAUUAAUCACAAUCUUGUGAAGCAAGAUGUUAAAUGCACCCAUCCUUAAGUAGGUGAUAUUUUCAUCUGUUUUUCUGUCCUUCACCAGUUCAAGUAUGGCCCGAGCAAUGGAAACUUUGAUUGGCUGAUAUCUUCCUCUUUCUACUUCUAACACAUCUGCCAGCAUAUUCAUAUCCACAACAUAGUCUUGGUCUUUAACGCUGAAAGAGAAUCUAUUCGCAUCCAAAAAGCUUAGAUUUGAAUAAAAAUAUGCAGUUAAUUCAGCAUAUGCCUCUAUAGAGUCAGAGCAGAACUUUUCAAGUUGAAGAUAACUGAACUUUUCCCUCAAGUUCACAUUCACAGCAUCCAGAAAAUCAAAAUCCACACUCCUGGGGUUUAUUACCCCCACGCUUCAGCAAUUUCGAGUACAGAUCCUUUUGCUCCUUUGAUCUGAACAAAUCUCCCCUUUUUCCUUGAUUUUCAACUGCAACACCCAUUUUCGGUUGAAAUUGACUGUAUAAUUUAUCAUCAUCAUUCCCAUCUACAGGAUUCGGCCCCCAGUCACGAGGAUCACUUGGGAUAUUUGCAAGGGUUUCCUCAGCAACCCCUUUUCAAGCUAUUCCCAAAUUUUCCAUUUUUCGUAGAAAGAUAUAUUCGUUCCCAUGUCCUUUGUCUUUAAGAAAAUCAUCAAUGUAGUUCAAAGGAGUACGAAUUCCUUUUAGGGCACAAUAUAACUGGUAAAUAUAAGCGGGCUUUUGAACUCUUACAG
Molecule: long non-coding RNA, 4638 nt
Filed under: Eucalyptus grandis
Lineage: Eukaryota; Viridiplantae; Streptophyta; Magnoliopsida; Myrtales; Myrtaceae
Description: long non-coding RNA (EGRA_LNC000278)
Source: RNAcentral